RNAcentral lists this ribosomal RNA (857 nucleotides) under Proteus penneri. RNAcentral's name for it is "bacterial SSU rRNA". It matches the Rfam family "Bacterial small subunit ribosomal RNA", at positions 33 to 881 of the family's 1533-position model. Lineage: Bacteria; Pseudomonadati; Pseudomonadota; Gammaproteobacteria; Enterobacterales; Morganellaceae. The record is from RNAcentral.
GGGCUGGGGCAGGCCUACACAUGCAAGUCGAGCGGUACAGUGAGUAAAGCUUGCUUUCUUGCUGACGAGCGGCGGACGGGUGAAUAAUGUAUGGGGAUCUGCCCGAUAGAGGGGGAUAACUACUGGAAACGGUGGCUAAUACCGCAUAAUGUCUACGGACCAAAGCAGGGGCUCUUCAGACCUUGCACUAUCGGAUGAACCCAUAUGGGAUUAGCUAGUAGGUGGGGUAAAGGCUCACCUAGGCGACGAUCUCUAGCUGGUCUGAGAGGAUGAUCAGCCACACUGGGACUGAGACACGGCCCAGACUCCUACGGGAGGCAGCAGUGGGGAAUAUUGCACAAUGGGCGCAAGCCUGAUGCAGCCAUGCCGCGUGUAUGAAGAAGGCCUUAGGGUUGUAAAGUACUUUCAGCGGGGAGGAAGGUGAUAAGGUUAAUACCCUUGUCAAUUGACGUUACCCGCAGAAGAAGCACCGGCUAACUCCGUGCCACCAGCCGCGGUAAUACAGAGGGUGCAAGCGUUAAUCGGAAUUACUGGGCGUAAAGCGCACGCAGGCGGUCAAUUAAGUCAGAUGUGAAACCCCCGAGCUUAACUUGGGAAUUGCAUCUGAAACUGGUUGGCUAUAGUCUUGUAGAGGGGGGUAUAAUUCCAUGUGUAGCGGUGAAAUGCGUAGAGAUGUGGAGGAAUACCGGUGGCGAAGGCGGCCCCCUGGACAAAGACUGACGCUCAGGUGCGACAGCGUGUGGAGCAGACAUGAUUACAUACCCUGGUAGUCCACGCUGUAAACGAUGUCGAUCUAUAGGUUGUGGUCUUGAACAAUGGCUUCUGUAGCUAACGCUUUUAUCGACCGCCUGGGGAGU